AUUCGGGUGACGAGUCCCAAAUAGGACGAAAUGCGUAUCGUGGAU
RNAcentral lists this non-coding RNA (45 nucleotides) under Trichobilharzia regenti. The record is from RNAcentral. Lineage: Eukaryota; Metazoa; Platyhelminthes; Trematoda; Strigeidida; Schistosomatidae.